Molecule: ribosomal RNA, 248 nt
Filed under: uncultured bacterium
Lineage: Bacteria
Description: partial 16S ribosomal RNA
Rfam family: Bacterial small subunit ribosomal RNA
Source: RNAcentral
AGGGUGCAAACGUUGUUCGGAUUUACUGGGCGUAAAGCGCGUGUAGGCGGCUUGGCAAGUCGGAUGUGAAAGCCCACGGCUCAACCGUGGAAGCGCAUCCGAAACUGCUUCGCUCGAGUCUCGGAGAGGAAGGUGGAAUGCUUGGUGUAGAGGUGAAAUUCGUAGAUAUCAAGCAGAACACCUGCGGCGAAGGCGGCCUUCUGGACGAUGACUGACGCUGAGACGCGAAAGCGUGGGGAGCAAACAGG